Molecule: long non-coding RNA, 568 nt
Filed under: Equus caballus (horse)
Lineage: Eukaryota; Metazoa; Chordata; Mammalia; Perissodactyla; Equidae
Description: lncRNA (ENSECAG00000053310.1)
Source: RNAcentral
UGCUUUUUCACAGUGUGGAAGCACAUUAGGGUUGGGAGUCGAGACUAAUUGUUUCAGAUGGCUGCCGGGAGACGCCGGGCUUUGUUUUUACAGCUCUCAAAGCAGGUGGGUAAACAGGCCUGCUUUUUUCUCUCUACAAGGCCAGAUCGGGUUUCAUGAGCUCGGGGACCACAGGGGCAAUGUCUGUGCUCCUAGUACAGCGCCUGGCCCGUGGCUGGUGCACAGGGAGAACUUCUCCGUGGAUGCAUGGAAGGAAACUUAUUUCCUGGUGCAGAGGAAGCGGUCAGCGGGGGAGACAGGCUGUGUGGAGAGGUGUGAUGGUCGCCCUCAGAAGCUUCUCACCCUGGCAACCCGUCUGCUUCUCCCGCUGUCACGCCAAGCCUGCCCUCCACCCAUGACCUCUGCCCCAUCUCACAGAAGCAAGAGUAGAGGUCUGGUGCUUGAAGAUGCCUGGCCUAGAACUGUAUUACAAAAUUCAUGUCUAGCCUGAGUCAGGUGAUAGAAUAGCAACAAGAAGGAAACAUUUUCAAAAGCUCUGCCUUGUGCUUAGGUCUAGAAAAUAGUGGAG